This 474-nucleotide ribosomal RNA is filed under the name uncultured bacterium. RNAcentral describes it as "bacterial SSU rRNA". It matches the Rfam family "Bacterial small subunit ribosomal RNA", at positions 16 to 507 of the family's 1533-position model. The record is from RNAcentral.
AUCAUGGCUCAGGACGAACGCUGGCGGCGUGCUUAACACAUGCAAGUCGAACGGUAAGGCCCUUCGGGGUACACGAGUGGCGAACGGGUGAGUAACACGUGGGUGAUCUGCCCUGCACUUCGGGAUAAGCCUGGGAAACUGGGUCUAAUACCGGAUAGGACUCCUGGCUUCAUGGUUGGGGGUGUAAAGCUUUUGCGGUGUGGGAUGGGCCCGCGGCCUAUCAGCUUGUUGGUGGGGUAAUGGCCUACCAAGGCGACGACGGGUAGCCGGCCUGAGAGGGUGACCGGCCACACUGGGACUGAGAUACGGCCCAGACUCCUACGGGAGGCAGCAGUGGGGAAUAUUGCACAAUGGGCGCAAGCCUGAUGCAGCGACGCCGCGUGAGGGAUGACGGCCUUCGGGUUGUAAACCUCUUUCAAUAGGGACGAAGCGCAAGUGACGGUACCUAUAGAAGAAGGACCGGCCAACUACGUG